AGAGUUUGAUCCUGGCUCAGGACGAACGCUGGCGGUGUGCUUCACACAUGCAAGUCGAACGGAGUAGCAAUACUCAGUGGCGGACGGGUGAGUAACACGUGGGAAUCUACCAUUAGGUGGGGAAUAACAGGCCGAAAGGACUGCUAAUGCCGCAUAUGUAGGCAUCUCGACAGAGAUGUUUAUGAAAGGAGUAAUCCGCCUUUUGAUGAGCCCGCGUCCGAUUAGCUAGUUGGUAGGGUAAAAGCCUACCAAGGCGACGAUCGGUAGGUGGUCUGAGAGGAUGAUCACCCACAAUGGGACUGAGACACGGCCCAUACUCCUACGGGAGGCAGCAGUGGGGAAUUUUACGCAAUGGGGGAAACCCUGACGUAGCGACACCGCGUGAGCGAAGAAGCCCUUUGGGGUGUAAAGCUCUGUCAACAGGAACGAAACAAAUGACGGUACCUGUGGAGGAAGCAUCGGCUAACUACGUGCCAGCAGCCGCGGUAAGACGUAGGAUGCAAGCGUUGUCCGGAUUUAUUGGGCGUAAAGAGUUCGUAGGUGGUUUGUUAAGUCUGAUGUUAAAGACCGGGGCUCAACCUCGGAAAUGCAUUGGAUACUGGAUGACUUGAGUGCGGUAGAGGCAAGUGGAAUUCCCAGUGUAGCGGUGAAAUGCGUAGA
RNAcentral lists this ribosomal RNA (660 nucleotides) under uncultured bacterium. Its description in RNAcentral is "bacterial SSU rRNA". It matches the Rfam family "Bacterial small subunit ribosomal RNA", at positions 8 to 694 of the family's 1533-position model. The record is from RNAcentral.